Bubalus bubalis (water buffalo) is the source of this 389-nucleotide long non-coding RNA. RefSeq lists it as uncharacterized. The record is from RefSeq and is a predicted model, not a curated record. The transcript has 2 exons. NCBI's taxonomy places the organism in Eukaryota, Metazoa, Chordata, Mammalia, Artiodactyla, Bovidae.
ACUAAAAAUUAGAAAGAAAAUCAAAGGAAAUCAAAGAGAGGUUGGAUGGCGAGAAAGGAAAUUAACACUCACCAAACAUACACCACAGGCCAGUGCUUUUCUGAUCAUCUGAUUUGCUACCUGCACACUGUCUAAGGUCCCAUGCUAACGCACAGGAUGAUUCAUUGAGCAACAGGGGCUGGGAACGCAGUGGAGGAGCGAAUGGCAAACCAAGGAGCUCAGGGAGCUUAGAAAAAGGAUCUCCAAAGGCAGGACCCCCAUGAUUAGAGAGACCACACGUCCUGGGCUAGGACAGAACUCGUGCACCUGCCUUGCAGAACUUUUGGGCUGUCUGAAGUUUUUUGAUGACUAUGAAUAAAACCAUAAAUUAAAAGACGCUUGUUCCUUGG